This is a long non-coding RNA of Cucurbita maxima (winter squash), 645 nucleotides long. RefSeq lists it as uncharacterized. Lineage: Eukaryota; Viridiplantae; Streptophyta; Magnoliopsida; Cucurbitales; Cucurbitaceae. The record is from RefSeq and is a predicted model, not a curated record. The transcript is spliced from 2 exons.
CACUUUCGGUUGUAUCACCUUCCGCUGUGAGAAUAUGUUUCUUUUUCUCUCGUCGGCGCCUCUGUGAGUUCUUGGCUGGUUUAUUUUUACUUUCAUCUUGGUUUUCAGGUGCUUACCUCGCUGCCAUUCAAUCUCCCACUCUUUCUGCUCAUGCUCGACGACAUUAAGGUUAGUUUUCCGGUCACCGGAUGUUUUUUGAGUAACGGAUUGCUGAAUUUCUUUUGAGUUUUGACUGUUUUUGAAGGAUUUGGUUCUUGAGCUCUGUUCUUAUUGUCUUUCUGAAUGAUGCUAUGCAAUAUUGAGUAUUAACAUACCGUUGUUAGGAGGAAUAGAGAGAAUAAUUGAAGCCCCUAUUCUGUCAUGUUUUUCUUUUGGGUUGUGAAGCUGACGAUUGGUUGUGUUUUGUAACGGCCUAGGCCACCGCUAGCAGAUAUUAUCCUCUUUGGACUUUUUCUUUUGAAUUUCUUCUCAAAGUUUUUAAAAUGCAUCUACUAGGGAAAAGUUUCCACACCCUUAUAAAGAGUGUUUCGUUCUCAUCCCCAACCAAUGCGGGUAUCGCAUGUUUGGUUAUAAAAAAUGAACUUGAUCUUUGGUUGGAAGGGGGAGAUGAACUUUAGGAACUCUAGCAAUUUAGUAUUCUUUGGA